GACGAACGCGGGCGGCGUGCUUAACACAUGCAAGUCGAACGGAAAGGCCCUGCUUGUGUGGUGUGCUCGAGUGGCGAACGGGUGAGUAACACGUGAGUAACCUGCCCUUGACUUUGGGAUAACUUUAGGAAACUGGGGCUAAUACCUGAUAGGAGCUCCUGCUUCAUGGUGGGGGUUGGAAAGUUUCGGCGGUUGGGGAUGGACGCACGGCUUAUCAGCUUGUCGGUGGGGUAGUGGCGUACCAAGGCUUUGACGGGUAUCCGGCCUGAGAGGGUGACCGGCCAGAUUGGGACUGAGAUACGGCCCAGACUACUAGGGGAGGCAGCAGUGGGGAAUAUUGCAGAAUGGGCGGAAGCCUGAUGCAGCAACGCCGCGUGCGGGAUGACGGCCUUCGGGUUGUAAACCGCUUUCGCCUGUGACGAAGCGUGAGUGACGGUAAUGGGUAAAGAAGCUCCGGCUAACUACGUG
Molecule: ribosomal RNA, 468 nt
Filed under: uncultured bacterium
Lineage: Bacteria
Description: partial 16S ribosomal RNA
Rfam family: Bacterial small subunit ribosomal RNA
Source: RNAcentral